CUUUCUUCACACGUUGGCUGUUCAGUUAAAUUCCAGCAUCACGAGAUCCAUGCCUUUAUAUCCCACACUCACGUUAUUCACCGUUGGUUCCAAGAUCAACGCCCACAAAUCCAUGCCUUUAUACAUAUAUGCUUUGCUUUAGCCAGUUUUUAGCAUCCCAAAAAAAGGCAAAAACCAAGAAAAAUUCCUGCGCCUUGGCCUAUUCUAGAUCAACGGUUGAAAUCAGACGGUUGAGAAGAUCAACGGUGUAUACAAAAAAGUUUAAAUUAAGAAAAUACAAAAGCUGAGCUGGGCCCCGACCUCUCUCUCUCCCUCCUUCUGUCUCUGCGCUCUCUGUAUAUAUAUUCUCUUCUUUGUUUGCUGCUUUCGACGUGAUUUUCUCCAUCGUCUUCUAUAAUCGAAGUUAUAUUCUAGCCUCGUAGGCGAAGAUGGGAACCAACUUCAAACCAGUGAUAUUGUCACUGUUUCUUUCCUUGUUGCUGUUUUCCUGUACAUCCUCUGCAUACAAUGAUAGGUUGGUUAGAAUUGGACUGAAAAAGCUGAAAUUGGAUCAAAACAGCCAGAUUGCUGCUCGGCUUGAGUCAAAAAAUGCUGAGGCUUUCAGAGCUUCUUUGAGGAAGUAUGGUCUCCAUGGUAACCUGGCAGACUCUGGGGGUCCUGAUAUUGUAGCACUGAAGAACUACUUGGAUGCUCAGUACUACGGUGAAAUUAGCAUUGGCACUCCUCCUCAGAAAUUCACUGUAAUCUUUGACACCGGUAGCUCCAAUUUGUGGGUGCCAUCAUCCAAGUGCUUUCUCUCUGUUGCUUGUUACUUCCAUUCCAAGUACAAGUCAAGCCAAUCAAGUACCUACAGGAAGAAUGGUCUGUUUUCUUUUGCAACCAGUUACAAUGCCUAAAAUUCAAUUUCUUUCAUUUAUAUUAUCUGAAGGCAUUUUAGCUUGUCGAUUUGAAAUCUAUUUUGUCAGCUCACCUGUGUUAUUUUUUCAUGCUUAUGUUAGAGUAGUUUUAUUUAGUCGUGCUUACAUAGGGGUAAGUAGUUCAAGCUCAACAUCGUGGUUCAUCUAUGAGAACCAUACUCUCAAGUUUUCUCUAUAUUGAUUAUAAAUAUAGGAAGGUUGCAAAAUGAUCCAUCAUAUAAUCCUAAGCCAUUUAGUCAAACCCAUUAGAUAAUAGACUUUCCGUAAUUGGAUGAUGGGUGUGGCAGGACAACUAUCCUAUGGAUGUCUUAAUCAUUUUAGAACUAAAAUUGGUUUGGUAUGAUUAAUUGUGUAGGGAAAUCUGCUGAAAUUCAAUAUGGUAGUGGAGCUAUUUCUGGUUUCUUUAGUUAUGAUAAUGUCAAUGUUGGUGACCUGGUUGUAAAAGAUCAGGUAAUCUUAUGCUUCCACCUCUUAUUGCUUAGACCUUUAAAUUUUGAUUUUUAGACUGUACUCUGCCGUUUAGUUUUUUUCCCAUCAGCUUUCAUUUUUUUUUCUUGGAUGAAUCGUUAAGGAAUUUAUUGAGGCAACUUCAGAGCCUAGUGUCACAUUUUUGAUGGCCAAGUUUGAUGGCAUACUAGGGCUUGGGUUUCAAGAAAUUUCAGUUGGAAAUGCUGUGCCCGUAUGGUACAACAUGGUUAAACAACGCCUUGUCAAGGAACCAAUAUUUUCUUUUUGGCUUAACCGCAAUACAGAGGAAGAGGAAGGAGGUGAAAUUGUAUUUGGUGGUGUUGAUCCAAAUCAUUACAAGGGCAAGCACACAUAUGUUCCUGUGACACAGAAAGGCUAUUGGCAGUUUGACAUGGGUGAUAUUCUUAUCGGUGAUAAACCAACCGGGUAUUGUGCUGGCAAAUGCUCAGCAAUUGCAGACUCUGGAACUUCCUUGUUGGCAGGCCCCGCGACUGUGGUUACCAUGAUAAAUCAAGCUAUUGGAGCCACUGGAGUAGUAAGCCAGGAAUGCAAGGCUGUUGUUGCUCAGUAUGGACAAACCAUAAUGAAUUUGCUUAUAGCUGAGGCUCAACCGAAGAAAAUCUGCUCUCAAAUUGGAUUGUGCACCUUUGAUGGGACCCGUGGUAUUAGCAUGGGCAUUCAGAGUGUGGUGGAUGAGAACAAUGAUAAAUCAUCUAAUAUUGCUCGUGAUUCUAUGUGCUCUGCCUGUGAGAUGACAGUUGUUUGGAUGCAGAACCAGCUAAGGCAGAAUCGAACAGAAGAUUAUAUACUGAACUAUGUCAAUGAGCUCUGUGAUCGAAUUCCGAACCCAAUGGGACAAUCAGCUGUUGACUGUGGAAGUCUCUCUUCAAUGCCUACUGUUUCCUUCACCAUCGGAGGAAAAAUUUUUUAUCUUACCCCAGAGGAGGUUUGUGAUUGGAACUUCUUUGUUAUUGUUGAAUAUAUUUUAUAUUUGAAAAAAAAAUUCUACGAUGAGUGGGAGUGUUAAUAUAUGAACUAAAGAAUAAAGAAAAGAAAUAAGAAAAAGAAAUGACUUCUGUUGCUUCUUGUUUCUUAUAAUCACAUACAAUGAAUUGUUUGUAUGGGCGGUUCACAUGUUGGUGAAACCAACAUAUUGUCUCAAAGAUGAGGUGUUGAUGAUUAUUCGAGUCUAUACGAGGAUAUCUUUCAUUUAGAAUGAUGGUCUGCGGGGCAUUUUAACAGUAUGUAGGUAUCUUUGUUUUGGAUGGGUAGUAGUGGCACAUAUUUCACAUGUCAUAUCUAGCAUGAACUUCAAUUCAUUGCUCUUAUUGCAUUUUUUGUGGGUGGUGAUCAGUACAUCCUCAAGGUGGGCGAGGGUUCAGGGGCUCAGUGCAUCAGUGGCUUUACUGCUUUGGAUGUGCCUCCUCCUCGUGGGCCUCUUUGGAUAUUGGGAGAUAUUUUCAUGGGUCGCUACCAUACUGUCUUCGACUAUGGCAAUCUGCGAGUUGGAUUUGCGGAGGCAGCAUAAAGGAUCUAUUUUGGGGUUUUCCUUAUUGCUACCUGCUACUGAUAUAUGUAAUAUGUAGCUUGAGAAGGGGAAUUAGUGGUGGAUUAUAUAGGUGUUGAUGAGCCCAACUUAAAACCAAUAGUUUGUGCGUUGGGUUGAUCAUAAGUGAUUUUAUUUAAAGAAAAAUAGAAGCGUCAAGCUUGAUGUCAAGGAUAUAUAAAUAUAUAUAUUGCACCUAGUGUUUGUAUUAUAUUGGUUAGAUUUGCUAGGGCUCGGUUUGGGUAGUGUGCUAUAUUUAAGAGGGAUAAUAAUGGAUCACUAUAAA
Molecule: unclassified non-coding RNA, 3217 nt
Filed under: Hevea brasiliensis (rubber tree)
Lineage: Eukaryota; Viridiplantae; Streptophyta; Magnoliopsida; Malpighiales; Euphorbiaceae
Source: RNAcentral